UGCCAGUGAUAAACUGGAGGAAGGUGGGGAUGACGUCAAGUCAUCAUGGCCCUUACGACCAGGGCUACACACGUGCUACAAUGGCAUAUACAAAGAGAAGCGACCUCGCGAGAGCAAGCGGACCUCAUAAAGUAUGUCGUAGUCCGGAUUGGAGUCUGCAACUCGACUCCAUGAAGUCGGAAUCGCUAGUAAUCGUAGAUCAGAAUGCUACGGUGAAUACGUUCCCGGGCCUUGUACACACCGCCCGUCACACCAUGGGAGUGGGUUGCAAA
RNAcentral lists this ribosomal RNA (272 nucleotides) under Klebsiella pneumoniae. Its description in RNAcentral is "partial 16S ribosomal RNA". It matches the Rfam family "Bacterial small subunit ribosomal RNA", at positions 1150 to 1421 of the family's 1533-position model. The record is from RNAcentral. RNAcentral also lists the same sequence under 1 other name. Lineage: Bacteria; Pseudomonadati; Pseudomonadota; Gammaproteobacteria; Enterobacterales; Enterobacteriaceae.